UGUGUGUUAGUGGAAGCGUCUGGAAAGGCGUGCGAUACAGGGUGACAGCCCCGUACACAAAAAUGCACAUACUGUGAGCUCGAUGAGUAGGGCGGGACACGUGGUAUCCUGUCUGAAUAUGGGGGGACCAUCCUCCAAGGCUAAAUACUCCUGACUGACCGAUAGUGAACCAGUACCGUGAGGGAAAGGCGAAAAGAACCCCGGCGAGGGGAGUGAAAAAGAACCUGAAACCGUGUACGUACAAGCAGUGGGAGCCUCUUAAUGGGGUGACUGCGUACCUUUUGUAUAAUGGGUCAGCGACUUAUAUUCUGUAGCAAGGUUAACCGAAUAGGGGAGCCGAAGGGAAACCGAGUCUUAACUGGGCGUUAAGUUGCAGGGUAUAGACCCGAAACCCGGUGAUCUAGCCAUGGGCAGGUUGAAGGUUGGGUAACACUAACUGGAGGACCGAACCGACUAAUGUUGAAAAAUUAGCGGAUGACUUGUGGCUGGGGGUGAAAGGCCAAUCAAACCGGGAGAUAGCUGGUUCUCCCCGAAAGCUAUUUAGGUAGCGCCUCGUGAAUUCAUCUCCGGGGGUAGAGCACUGUUUCGGCAAGGGGGUCAUCCCGACUUACCAACCCGAUGCAAACUGCGAAUACCGGAGAAUGUUAUCACGGGAGACACACGGCGGGUGCUAACGUCCGUCGUGAAGAGGGAAACAACCCAGACCGCCAGCUAAGGUCCCAAAGUCAUGGUUAAGUGGGAAACGAUGUGGGAAGGCCCAGACAGCCAGGAUGUUGGCUUAGAAGCAGCCAUCAUUUAAAGAAAGCGUAAUAGCUCACUGGUCGAGUCGGCCUGCGCGGAAGAUGUAACGGGGCUAAACCAUGCACCGAAGCUGCGGCAGCGACACUAUGUGUUGUUGGGUAGGGGAGCGUUCUGUAAGCCUGUGAAGGUGUACUGUGAGGUAUGCUGGAGGUAUCAGAAGUGCGAAUGCUGACAUAAGUAACGAUAAAGCGGGUGAAAAGCCCGCUCGCCGGAAGACCAAGGGUUCCUGUCCAACGUUAAUCGGGGCAGGGUGAGUCGACCCCUAAGGCGAGGCCGAAAGGCGUAGUCGAUGGGAAACAGGUUAAUAUUCCUGUACUUGGUGUUACUGCGAAGGGGGGACGGAGAAGGCUAUGUUGGCCGGGCGACGGUUGUCCCGGUUUAAGCGUGUAGGCUGGUUUUCCAGGCAAAUCCGGAAAAUCAAGGCUGAGGCGUGAUGACGAGGCACUACGGUGCUGAAGCAACAAAUGCCCUGCUUCCAGGAAAAGCCUCUAAGCAUCAGGUAACAUCAAAUCGUACCCCAAACCGACACAGGUGGUCAGGUAGAGAAUACCAAGGCGCUUGAGAGAACUCGGGUGAAGGAACUAGGCAAAAUGGUGCCGUAACUUCGGGAGAAGGCACGCUGAUAUGUAGGUGAAGUCCCUCGCGGAUGGAGCUGAAAUCAGUCGAAGAUACCAGCUGGCUGCAACUGUUUAUUAAAAACACAGCACUGUGCAAACACGAAAGUGGACGUAUACGGUGUGACGCCUGCCCGGUGCCGGAAGGUUAAUUGAUGGGGUUAGCGGUAACGCGAAGCUCUUGAUCGAAGCCCCGGUAAACGGCGGCCGUAACUAUAACGGUCCUAAGGUAGCGAAAUUCCUUGUCGGGUAAGUUCCGACCUGCACGAAUGGCGUAAUGAUGGCCAGGCUGUCUCCACCCGAGACUCAGUGAAAUUGAACUCGCUGUGAAGAUGCAGUGUACCCGCGGCAAGACGGAAAGACCCCGUGAACCUUUACUAUAGCUUGACACUGAACAUUGAGCCUUGAUGUGUAGGAUAGGUGGGAGGCUUUGAAGUGUGGACGCCAGUCUGCAUGGAGCCGGCCUUGAAAUACCACCCUUUAAUGUUUGAUGUUCUAACGUUGGCCCCUGACCGGGGUUGCGGACAGUGUCUGGUGGGUAGUUUGACUGGGGCGGUCUCCUCCUAAAGAGUAACGGAGGAGCACGAAGGUUGGCUAAUCCUGGUCGGACAUCAGGAGGUUAGUGCAAUGGCAUAAGCCAGCUUGACUGCGAGCGUGACGGCGCGAGCAGGUGCGAAAGCAGGUCAUAGUGAUCCGGUGGUUCUGAAUGGAAGGGCCAUCGCUCAACGGAUAAAAGGUACUCCGGGGAUAACAGGCUGAUACCGCCCAAGAGUUCAUAUCGACGGCGGUGUUUGGCACCUCGAUGUCGGCUCAUCACAUCCUGGGGCUGAAGUAGGUCCCAAGGGUAUGGCUGUUCGCCAUUUAAAGUGGUACGCGAGCUGGGUUUAGAACGUCGUGAGACAGUUCGGUCCCUAUCUGCCGUGGGCGCUGGAGAACUGAGGGGGGCUGCUCCUAGUACGAGAGGACCGGAGUGGACGCAUCACUGGUGUUCGGGUUGUCAUGCCAAUGGCACUGCCCGGUAGCUAAAUGCGGAAGAGAUAAGUGCUGAAAGCAUCUAAGCACGAAACUUGCCCCGAGAUGAGUUCUCCCUGACUCCUUGAGAGUCCUGAAGGAACGUUGAAGACGACGACGUUGAUAGGCCGGGUGUGUAAGCGCAGCGAUGCGUUGAGCUAACCGGUACUAAUGAACCGUGAGG
Molecule: ribosomal RNA, 2610 nt
Filed under: Escherichia coli
Lineage: Bacteria; Pseudomonadati; Pseudomonadota; Gammaproteobacteria; Enterobacterales; Enterobacteriaceae
Description: partial 23S ribosomal RNA
Rfam family: Bacterial large subunit ribosomal RNA
Source: RNAcentral